RNAcentral lists this ribosomal RNA (2180 nucleotides) under Escherichia coli. Its description in RNAcentral is "partial 23S ribosomal RNA". It matches the Rfam family "Bacterial large subunit ribosomal RNA", at positions 1 to 2207 of the family's 2925-position model. Lineage: Bacteria; Pseudomonadati; Pseudomonadota; Gammaproteobacteria; Enterobacterales; Enterobacteriaceae. The record is from RNAcentral.
GUUAAGCGACUAAGCGUACACGGUGGAUGCCCUGGCAGUCAGAGGCGAUGAAGGACGUGCUAAUCUGCGAUAAGCGUCGGUAAGGUGAUAUGAACCGUUAUAACCGGCGAUUUCCGAAUGGGGAAACCCAGUGUGUUUCGACACACUAUCAUUAACUGAAUCCAUAGGUUAAUGAGGCGAACCGGGGGAACUGAAACAUCUAAGUACCCCGAGGAAAAGAAAUCAACCGAGAUUCCCCCAGUAGCGGCGAGCGAACGGGGAGGAGCCCAGAGCCUGAAUCAGUGUGUGUGUUAGUGGAAGCGUCUGGAAAGGCGCGCGAUACAGGGUGACAGCCCCGUACACAAAAAUGCACAUGCUGUGAGCUCGAUGAGUAGGGCGGGACACGUGGUAUCCUGUCUGAAUAUGGGGGGACCAUCCUCCAAGGCUAAAUACUCCUGACUGACCGAUAGUGAACCAGUACCGUGAGGGAAAGGCGAAAAGAACCCCGGCGAGGGGAGUGAAAAAGAACCUGAAACCGUGUACGUACAAGCAGUGGGAGCACGCUUAGGCGUGUGACUGCGUACCUUUUGUAUAAUGGGUCAGCGACUUAUAUUCUGUAGCAAGGUUAACCGAAUAGGGGAGCCGAAGGGAAACCGAGUCUUAACUGGGCGUUAAGUUGCAGGGUAUAGACCCGAAACCCGGUGAUCUAGCCAUGGGCAGGUUGAAGGUUGGGUAACACUAACUGGAGGACCGAACCGACUAAUGUUGAAAAAUUAGCGGAUGACUUGUGGCUGGGGGUGAAAGGCCAAUCAAACCGGGAGAUAGCUGGUUCUCCCCGAAAGCUAUUUAGGUAGCGCCUCGUGAAUUCAUCUCCGGGGGUAGAGCACUGUUUCGGCAAGGGGGUCAUCCCGACUUACCAACCCGAUGCAAACUGCGAAUACCGGAGAAUGUUAUCACGGGAGACACACGGCGGGUGCUAACGUCCGUCGUGAAGAGGGAAACAACCCAGACCGCCAGCUAAGGUCCCAAAGUCAUGGUUAAGUGGGAAACGAUGUGGGAAGGCCCAGACAGCCAGGAUGUUGGCUUAGAAGCAGCCAUCAUUUAAAGAAAGCGUAAUAGCUCACUGGUCGAGUCGGCCUGCGCGGAAGAUGUAACGGGGCUAAACCAUGCACCGAAGCUGCGGCAGCGACGCUUAUGCGUUGUUGGGUAGGGGAGCGUUCUGUAAGCCUGUGAAGGUGUGCUGUGAGGCAUGCUGGAGGUAUCAGAAGUGCGAAUGCUGACAUAAGUAACGAUAAAGCGGGUGAAAAGCCCGCUCGCCGGAAGACCAAGGGUUCCUGUCCAACGUUAAUCGGGGCAGGGUGAGUCGACCCCUAAGGCGAGGCCGAAAGGCGUAGUCGAUGGGAAACAGGUUAAUAUUCCUGUACUUGGUGUUACUGCGAAGGGGGGACGGAGAAGGCUAUGUUGGCCGGGCGACGGUUGUCCCGGUUUAAGCGUGUAGGCUGGUUUUCCAGGCAAAUCCGGAAAAUCAAGGCUGAGGCGUGAUGACGAGGCACUACGGUGCUGAAGCAACAAAUGCCCUGCUUCCAGGAAAAGCCUCUAAGCAUCAGGUAACAUCAAAUCGUACCCCAAACCGACACAGGUGGUCAGGUAGAGAAUACCAAGGCGCUUGAGAGAACUCGGGUGAAGGAACUAGGCAAAAUGGUGCCGUAACUUCGGGAGAAGGCACGCUGAUAUGUAGGUGAAGCGACUUGCUCGUGGAGCUGAAAUCAGUCGAAGAUACCAGCUGGCUGCAACUGUUUAUUAAAAACACAGCACUGUGCAAACACGAAAGUGGACGUAUACGGUGUGACGCCUGCCCGGUGCCGGAAGGUUAAUUGAUGGGGUCAGCGCAAGCGAAGCUCUUGAUCGAAGCCCCGGUAAACGGCGGCCGUAACUAUAACGGUCCUAAGGUAGCGAAAUUCCUUGUCGGGUAAGUUCCGACCUGCACGAAUGGCGUAAUGAUGGCCAGGCUGUCUCCACCCGAGACUCAGUGAAAUUGAACUCGCUGUGAAGAUGCAGUGUACCCGCGGCAAGACGGAAAGACCCCGUGAACCUUUACUAUAGCUUGACACUGAACAUUGAGCCUUGAUGUGUAGGAUAGGUGGGAGGCUUUGAAGUGUGGACGCCAGUCUGCAUGGAGCCGACCUUGAAAUACCACCCUU